GGGUUGUGAGGUUAAGCGACUAAGCGUACACGGUGGAUGCCCUGGCAGUCAGAGGCGAUGAAGGACGUGCUAAUCUGCGAAAAGCGUCGGUAAGGUGAUAUGAACCGUUAUAGCCGGCGAUGUCCGAAUGGGGAAACCCAGUGCAAUUCGUUGCACUAUCGUUAACUGAAUACAUAGGUUAACGAGGCGAACCGGGGGAACUGAAACAUCUAAGUACCCCGAGGAAAAGAAAUCAACCGAGAUUCCCCCAGUAGCGGCGAGCGAACGGGGAGCAGCCCAGAGUCUGAAUCAGCUUGUGUGUUAGUGGAACGGUCUGGAAAGUCCGACGGUACAGGGUGAUAGUCCCGUACACCAAAAUGCACAGGCUGUGAACUCGAAGAGUAGGGCGGGACACGUGGUAUCCUGUCUGAAUAUGGGGGGACCAUCCUCCAAGGCUAAAUACUCCUGACUGACCGAUAGUGAACCAGUACCGUGAGGGAAAGGCGAAAAGAACCCCGGCGAGGGGAGUGAAAAAGAACCUGAAACCGUGUACGUACAAGCAGUGGGAGCACCUUCGGGUGUGACUGCGUACCUUUUGUAUAAUGGGUCAGCGACUUAUAUUCUGUAGCAAGGUUAACCGUAUAGGGGAGCCGCAGGGAAACCGAGUCUUAACUGGGCGUUAAGUUGCAGGGUAUAGACCCGAAACCCGGUGAUCUAGCCAUGGGCAGGUUGAAGGUUGGGUAACACUAACUGGAGGACCGAACCGACUAAUGUUGAAAAAUUAGCGGAUGACUUGUGGCUGGGGGUGAAAGGCCAAUCAAACCGGGAGAUAGCUGGUUCUCCCCGAAAGCUAUUUAGGUAGCGCCUCGUGAACUCAUCUUCGGGGGUAGAGCACUGUUUCGGCUAGGGGGUCAUCCCGACUUACCAACCCGAUGCAAACUACGAAUACCGAAGAAUGUUAUCACGGGAGACACACGGCGGGUGCUAACGUCCGUCGUGAAGAGGGAAACAACCCAGACCGCCAGCUAAGGUCCCAAAGUCAUGGUUAAGUGGGAAACGAUGUGGGAAGGCACAGACAGCCAGGAUGUUGGCUUAGAAGCAGCCAUCAUUUAAAGAAAGCGUAAUAGCUCACUGGUCGAGUCGGCCUGCGCGGAAGAUGUAACGGGGCUAAACCAUGCACCGAAGCUGCGGCAGCGACACUAUGUGUUGUUGGGUAGGGGAGCGUUCUGUAAGCCUGCGAAGGUGACCUGUGAGGGUUGCUGGAGGUAUCAGAAGUGCGAAUGCUGACAUAAGUAACGAUAAAGCGGGUGAAAAGCCCGCUCGCCGGAAGACCAAGGGUUCCUGUCCAACGUUAAUCGGGGCAGGGUGAGUCGACCCCUAAGGCGAGGCCGAAAGGCGUAGUCGAUGGGAAACAGGUUAAUAUUCCUGUACUUGGUGUUACUGCGAAGGGGGGACGGAGAAGGCUAUGUUAGCCGGGCGACGGUUGUCCCGGUUUAAGCAUGUAGGCUGGUUGUCCAGGCAAAUCCGGAUAAUCAAGGCUGAGGUGUGAUGACGAGGCACUACGGUGCUGAAGUAACAAAUGCCCUGCUUCCAGGAAAAGCCUCUAAGCAUCAGGUAACAUUAAAUCGUACCCCAAACCGACACAGGUGGUCAGGUAGAGAAUACCAAGGCGCUUGAGAGAACUCGGGUGAAGGAACUAGGCAAAAUGGUGCCGUAACUUCGGGAGAAGGCACGCUGGUGUGUAGGUGAAGUCCCUGCGGAUGGAGCUGAGACCAGUCGAAGAUACCAGCUGGCUGCAACUGUUUAUUAAAACACAGCACUGUGCAAACACGAAAGUGGACGUAUACGGUGUGACGCCUGCCCGGUGCCGGAAGGUUAAUUGAUGGGGUUAUCCGUAAGGAGAAGCUCUUGAUCGAAGCCCCGGUAAACGGCGGCCGUAACUAUAACGGUCCUAAGGUAGCGAAAUUCCUUGUCGGGUAAGUUCCGACCUGCACGAAUGGCGUAAUGAUGGCCAGGCUGUCUCCACCCGAGACUCAGUGAAAUUGAACUCGCUGUGAAGAUGCAGUGUACCCGCGGCAAGACGGAAAGACCCCGUGAACCUUUACUAUAGCUUGACACUGAACAUUGAGCCUUGAUGUGUAGGAUAGGUGGGAGGCUUUGAAGCGUGGACGCCAGUCUGCGUGGAGCCAACCUUGAAAUACCACCCUUUAAUGUUUGAUGUUCUAACGUUGGCCCUUACCGGGGUUGCGGACAGUGUCUGGUGGGUAGUUUGACUGGGGCGGUCUCCUCCCAAAGCGUAACGGAGGAGCACGAAGGUUAGCUAAUCCUGGUCGGACAUCAGGAGGUUAGUGCAAUGGCAUAAGCUAGCUUGACUGCGAGCGUGACGGCGCGAGCAGGUGCGAAAGCAGGUCAUAGUGAUCCGGUGGUUCUGAAUGGAAGGGCCAUCGCUCAACGGAUAAAAGGUACUCCGGGAUAACAGGCUGAUACCGCCCAAGAGUUCAUAUCGACGGCGGUGUUUGGCACCUCGAUGUCGGCUCAUCACAUCCUCGGGCUGAAGUAGGUCCCAAGGGUAUGGCUGUUCGCCAUUUAAAGUGGUACGCGAGCUGGGUUUAGAACGUCGUGAGACAGUUCGGUCCCUAUCUGCCGUGGGCGCUGGAGAAUUGAGGGGGGCUGCUCCUAGUACGAGAGGACCGGAGUGGACGCAUCACUGGUGUUCGGGUUGUCAUGCCAAUGGCACUGCCCGGUAGCUAAAUGCGGAAGAGAUAAGUGCUGAAAGCAUCUAAGCACGAAACUUGCCCCGAGAUGAGUUCUCCCUGAGACUUUAAGUCUCCUGAAGGAACGUUAAAGACGAUGACGUUGAUAGGCCGGGUGUGUAAGCGCAUGCGUUGAGCUAACCGGUACUAAUGAACCGUGAGGCUUAACCUUACAACGCCGAAG
Molecule: ribosomal RNA, 2916 nt
Filed under: Klebsiella pneumoniae
Lineage: Bacteria; Pseudomonadati; Pseudomonadota; Gammaproteobacteria; Enterobacterales; Enterobacteriaceae
Description: 23S ribosomal RNA
Rfam family: Bacterial large subunit ribosomal RNA
Source: RNAcentral